Molecule: ribosomal RNA, 497 nt
Filed under: uncultured bacterium
Lineage: Bacteria
Description: partial 16S ribosomal RNA
Rfam family: Bacterial small subunit ribosomal RNA
Source: RNAcentral
GACGAACGCUGCGGCGUGCCUAACACAUGCAAGUCGAGCGGAGUCAGUAAGAGGAAGUUUUCGGAUGGAAUCUUAUUGAUUUAGCGACGGACGGGUGAGUAACGCGUGAGCGACCAACCUUGCACAGGGGGAUAACGGACCGAAAGGUUCACUAAUACCGCGUGAGACCACGGUGUUGCAUGACACAGGGGUCAAAGGAGCAAUCCGGUGCAAGACGGGCUCGCGUCCGAUUAGGUAGUUGGAGGGGUAACGGCCCACCAAGCCUAUGGUCGGUAGCCGACCUGAGAGGGUGAUCGGCCACAUUGAAACUGAGAUACGGUCCAAACUCCUACGGGAGGCAGCAGUGGGGAAUAUUGGGCAAUGGGGGAAACCCUGACCCAGCAACGCCGCGUGAAGGAAGAAGGUUUUCGGAUUGUAAACUUCUGUCCUUGGUGAAGAGAAGAAGACGGUAGCCAAGGAGGAAGCCCCGGCUAACUACGUGCCAGCCGCCGCGGUAA